Molecule: ribosomal RNA, 237 nt
Filed under: uncultured bacterium
Lineage: Bacteria
Description: partial 16S ribosomal RNA
Rfam family: Bacterial small subunit ribosomal RNA
Source: RNAcentral
GUUGUCCGGAAUCAUUGGGCGUAAAGAGCGUGUAGGCGGCUUGUUAAGUCUUGCGUGAAAUCUCGGGGCUCAACCCCGAGCGGUCGUGAGAAACUGGCAGGCUAGAGUGCGGGAGAGGAGAGUGGAAUUCCUGGUGUAGCGGUGAAAUGCGCAGAUAUCAGGAAGAACACCCGUGGCUAAGGCGGCUCUCUAGUACGGUACUGACGCUGAGACGCGAAAGCGUGGGGAGCGAACAGG